Molecule: ribosomal RNA, 254 nt
Filed under: uncultured bacterium
Lineage: Bacteria
Description: partial 16S ribosomal RNA
Rfam family: Bacterial small subunit ribosomal RNA
Source: RNAcentral
UACGGGGGGGGGCAAGCGUUGUUCGGAAUUACUGGGCGUAAAGGGCUCGUAGGCGGCCAUCUAAGUCGGACGUGAAAUCCCUCGGCUUAACCGGGGAACUGCGUCCGAUACUGGAGGGCUUGAGUGUGGGAGAGGGAUGCGGAAUUCCAGGUGUAGCGGUGAAAUUCGUGGAUAUUCGGAAGAACACCAGUGGCGAAGGCGACACACUGGCUCACUACUGACGCUGAGGCGCGAAGGCCAGGGGAGCAAACGGG